AACACGUAGGGUGCAAGCGUUGUCCGGAAUCAUUGGGCGUAAAGAGCUCGUAGGCGGCUUAGUAAGUCGGGUGUGAAAACCCCAGGCUCAACCUGGGGACGCCACCCGAUACUGCUAUAGCUAGAGUCCAGUAGGGGAGUGUGGAAUUCCCAGUGUAGCGGUGAAAUGCGCAGAUAUUGGGAGGAACACCAGCGGCGAAGGCGGCACUCUGGGCUGGUACUGACGCUGAGGAGCGAAAGCGUGGGUAGCGAACAG
This 255-nucleotide ribosomal RNA is filed under the name uncultured prokaryote. Its description in RNAcentral is "partial 16S ribosomal RNA". It matches the Rfam family "Bacterial small subunit ribosomal RNA", at positions 522 to 775 of the family's 1533-position model. The record is from RNAcentral.